AUACGGAGGAUGCGAGCGUUAUCCGGAUUUAUUGGGUUUAAAGGGUGCGCAGGCGGCGAGUCAAGUCAGCGGUCAAACUGCGGCGCUCAACGCCGUACCGCCGUUGAAACUGGCGCGCUCGAGUUUGUGCGAGGAUGGCGGAAUGCGCAGUGUAGCGGUGAAAUGCAUAGAGAUCACACAGAACACCGAUUGCGAAGGCAUCUCACGAACGGAUGAUUGACGCUGAGGCACGAAAGCGUGGGGAUCAAACAGGAUUAGAUACCCUGGUAGUCCACGCAGUAAACGAUGAUAACUAACCGCUGGUGCGCAAGUAUCAGUGGCCAAGCGAAAGCGAUAAGUUAUCCACCUGGGGAGUACGACCGCAAGGUUGAAACUCAAAUGAAUUGGCGGGG
RNAcentral lists this ribosomal RNA (392 nucleotides) under uncultured bacterium. RNAcentral describes it as "partial 16S ribosomal RNA". It matches the Rfam family "Bacterial small subunit ribosomal RNA", at positions 523 to 918 of the family's 1533-position model. The record is from RNAcentral.